Lagopus leucura (white-tailed ptarmigan) is the source of this 1287-nucleotide long non-coding RNA. RefSeq lists it as uncharacterized. The record is from RefSeq and is a predicted model, not a curated record. Lineage: Eukaryota; Metazoa; Chordata; Aves; Galliformes; Phasianidae. The transcript has 3 exons.
CCAGCACUAUCUCCUGAACUAUAGCUAAAACUCUACUGUUUUUCUGUUUUGUUUUGUUUUAUUCAGAACAAUAAUAUUUACAAAGUCUUGUAUUCUUGAGCGCAGGUUCUUGCCAAGGAAACAGUUUAGAAGCUGCAGGUACCUCGCCACACGAUGGCAGAGUAACAGCACUUGUCACUAGGUACCUUAAAGGCAGAUCUUACUUCUUGAGACUGCAAAAGAAUAAUGGCAAGCCCUCUUUUGCUUCAGGAAGUAGAAGACCCAAGUAUUUUGCCUUUAUUUUUGAGCUGUGUAAAACAAGGACAUGGCAACCUGACCACAUCUGAAGCAGAGUUGGAAAUGUUCCCAUCAGUCUUCCAGAGAUUCAGGAAAGAGCAUCUUUUAUUCCUUAAUAGCUUUCUCUUGACCAUCUGUGGUCAAGCCAUGCUUUCUCCUUACCGUUUCAAGAGCCUGGAUUGUUCUCAGAGCCAGAAGGGGAGAAGCAGAAAGUCCAGCUGCAUGAGGGAAUUCUGCUUUUUUCUUACCCUGUGACUAUUGGAAAGAUUCUUCUCUUCACAUUUCUUUACAUCUGAGCACAGGAUUUGGAAGUGCUUUAAAAGCUGAUAGCUUCAAGAAAGCAGAGGAGACUAAGAAGGAUAGAAUGAAUUCAGAGGGCAUGUUUUUCAAGAGCCAGGAAUCUGACGUACAUGGAAUUGUGAACUCUUGUAGCAGAAGAUAAAGUUCUUAUGGUGAUAUGUUUCAAAUGAGACUAGCUGUGAUUCAGACACACCUGAUACAAGCAUAUCAUUAUCUCUGUCGUUUUCUCAUUAAUGAUCGUGUGGUUGUUAUAAAGAGCUGACAGAAAAUUGCAUAAAUUAUCAUACAAUUAUUAUAUAAUAAUUAGCCCUCAUAUGUAUAUAAUAUAGAAAAAUUAAGUCAUGAAAUGAACUUGCUUGCAGAAGUGCUAAAAAAAUUACCUGUCACACACAGUUUACACUGAAAAGGCAGUAGAAGAAUGCAUUUUUUCAUUGAUAAACGAAGCCUUAAAUCUCCAGGCAAACUGAAUUUCAUUAGCAGAGAAAUUAAAAUUUGAUCUUUCUAUUGAAAUAGCUGCCAAGGUUAAGGGAUCACAGCAAAUAUGCAUGAUAUGUUGCUCAUACCACCUGGGAAUGGGGGGAGUUGUUCCCUUUUCCUACAGUAAGUAGUAGUUAUUACUCAGGGAGACCAUGCCCAGGGGUGCAGCCCUUCCAAGAAUCAGGGCAUAAUUCUAGCCAUUGCAAAAAUUUUUCACUAUUUUCGAUUCUUAGU